RNAcentral lists this long non-coding RNA (283 nucleotides) under Ananas comosus (pineapple). Its description in RNAcentral is "long non-coding RNA (ACOM_LNC012267)". Lineage: Eukaryota; Viridiplantae; Streptophyta; Magnoliopsida; Poales; Bromeliaceae. The record is from RNAcentral.
UGUAAUCUCUAGCAGAUAGCAGUCGGAUUUCAUUUUCCACCUUUCGGGUGUCAAAAUAACAUGAAAUUUUAAAUAUAGCCUCAUAAAAAAUAAUCCUGACAUAUUUUCAGAUUUUCAUAAUUUUCUGACACUGUGAAUUUUUCGCUAAAAUAUCAGCCCCGUUCUUUACAGAAAAUUCUAAAUCUUCUAUUUUCAUUCCGAUUUUAGCACAAGUCAUUCCAGACUUAUAUUUUACUUCUUUAAGUCCAAUAAAAAUAGUAUCUCGCACUAUUUUUAUUUACAC